This 601-nucleotide ribosomal RNA is filed under the name Bacillus sp. FJAT-4408. RNAcentral's name for it is "bacterial SSU rRNA". It matches the Rfam family "Bacterial small subunit ribosomal RNA", at positions 63 to 647 of the family's 1533-position model. The record is from RNAcentral. Lineage: Bacteria; Bacillati; Bacillota; Bacilli; Caryophanales; Bacillaceae.
CGAGCGGAAGAUGGGAGCUUGCUCCCUGAUGUUAGCGGCGGACGGGUGAGUAACACGUGGGUAACCUGCCUGUAAGACUGGGAUAACUCCGGGAAACCGGGGCUAAUACCGGAUGCUUGUUUGAACCGCAUGGUUCAAACAUAAAAGGUGGCUUCGGCUACCACUUACAGAUGGACCCGCGGCGCAUUAGCUAGUUGGUGAGGUAAUGGCUCACCAAGGCAACGAUGCGUAGCCGACCUGAGAGGGUGAUCGGCCACACUGGGACUGAGACACGGCCCAGACUCCUACGGGAGGCAGCAGUAGGGAAUCUUCCGCAAUGGACGAAAGUCUGACGGAGCAACGCCGCGUGAGUGAUGAAGGUUUUCGGAUCGUAAAGCUCUGUUGUUAGGGAAGAACAAGUGCCGUUCAAAUAGGGCGGCACCUUGACGGUACCUAACCAGAAAGCCACGGCUAACUACGUGCCAGCAGCCGCGGUAAUACGUAGGUGGCAAGCGUUGUCCGGAAUUAUUGGGCGUAAAGGGCUCGCAGGCGGUUUCUUAAGUCUGAUGUGAAAGCCCCCGGCUCAACCGGGGAGGGUCAUUGGAAACUGGGGAACUUGAGU